GGACGAACGCUGGCGGCGUGCUUAACACAUGCAAGUCGAGGGGGUUCGUGGGGCAAACUCACGGAUCACCGGCGAACGGGUGCGUAACACGUGAGCCGUACCUGCCGUACCUGUGGGGGAUAGCCGGCCCAACGGCCGGGUAAUACCGCAUACGCUUGUCUUGGGGCAUCCUGGGACAAAAGAAAGCUCUGGGGGCAACCCUGGGGCGCAGGACGAGGGGCUCGCGGCCUAUCAGCUAGUUGGCGGGGUAACGGCCCACCAAGGCGGUGACGGGUAGCUGGUCUGAGAGGAUGGCCAGCCACAUUGGGACUGAGAGACGGCCCAGACUCCUACGGGAGGCAGCAGUGGGGAAUCUUGCGCAAUGGCCUAACGGCUGACGCAGCGACGCCGCGUGUGGGA
Molecule: ribosomal RNA, 399 nt
Filed under: uncultured bacterium
Lineage: Bacteria
Description: bacterial SSU rRNA
Rfam family: Bacterial small subunit ribosomal RNA
Source: RNAcentral